GCAAGUCGAACGAACCUUCGGGUGAGUGGCGCACGGGUGCGUAACGCGUGGGAAUGUACAUCUCGGUAAGGAAUAACUGCUGGAAACGGUAGCUAAUACCUUAUAAUGACUCCGGUCCAAAGAUUUAUCGCCGAGGAAUCAGCCCGCGUCGGAUUAGCUUGUUGGUGAGGUAAAAGCUCACAAAGGCGACGAUCUGUAACUGGUCUGAGAGGACGACC
Molecule: ribosomal RNA, 218 nt
Filed under: uncultured bacterium
Lineage: Bacteria
Description: partial 16S ribosomal RNA
Rfam family: Bacterial small subunit ribosomal RNA
Source: RNAcentral